This 1509-nucleotide ribosomal RNA is filed under the name Bifidobacterium pseudocatenulatum. RNAcentral's name for it is "bacterial SSU rRNA". It matches the Rfam family "Bacterial small subunit ribosomal RNA". RNAcentral also lists the same sequence under 1 other name. Lineage: Bacteria; Bacillati; Actinomycetota; Actinomycetes; Bifidobacteriales; Bifidobacteriaceae. The record is from RNAcentral.
AGGGUUCGAUUCUGGCUCAGGAUGAACGCUGGCGGCGUGCUUAACACAUGCAAGUCGAACGGGAUCCAUCAGGCUUUGCUUGGUGGUGAGAGUGGCGAACGGGUGAGUAAUGCGUGACCGACCUGCCCCAUACACCGGAAUAGCUCCUGGAAACGGGUGGUAAUGCCGGAUGCUCCGACUCCUCGCAUGGGGUGUCGGGAAAGAUUUCAUCGGUAUGGGAUGGGGUCGCGUCCUAUCAGGUAGUCGGCGGGGUAACGGCCCACCGAGCCUACGACGGGUAGCCGGCCUGAGAGGGCGACCGGCCACAUUGGGACUGAGAUACGGCCCAGACUCCUACGGGAGGCAGCAGUGGGGAAUAUUGCACAAUGGGCGCAAGCCUGAUGCAGCGACGCCGCGUGCGGGAUGACGGCCUUCGGGUUGUAAACCGCUUUUGAUCGGGAGCAAGCCUUCGGGUGAGUGUACCUUUCGAAUAAGCACCGGCUAACUACGUGCCAGCAGCCGCGGUAAUACGUAGGGUGCAAGCGUUAUCCGGAAUUAUUGGGCGUAAAGGGCUCGUAGGCGGUUCGUCGCGUCCGGUGUGAAAGUCCAUCGCUUAACGGUGGAUCUGCGCCGGGUACGGGCGGGCUGGAGUGCGGUAGGGGAGACUGGAAUUCCCGGUGUAACGGUGGAAUGUGUAGAUAUCGGGAAGAACACCAAUGGCGAAGGCAGGUCUCUGGGCCGUUACUGACGCUGAGGAGCGAAAGCGUGGGGAGCGAACAGGAUUAGAUACCCUGGUAGUCCACGCCGUAAACGGUGGAUGCUGGAUGUGGGGCCCGUUCCACGGGUUCCGUGUCGGAGCUAACGCGUUAAGCAUCCCGCCUGGGGAGUACGGCCGCAAGGCUAAAACUCAAAGAAAUUGACGGGGGCCCGCACAAGCGGCGGAGCAUGCGGAUUAAUUCGAUGCAACGCGAAGAACCUUACCUGGGCUUGACAUGUUCCCGACAGCCGUAGAGAUAUGGCCUCCCUUCGGGGCGGGUUCACAGGUGGUGCAUGGUCGUCGUCAGCUCGUGUCGUGAGAUGUUGGGUUAAGUCCCGCAACGAGCGCAACCCUCGCCCUGUGUUGCCAGCACGUCAUGGUGGGAACUCACGGGGGACCGCCGGGGUCAACUCGGAGGAAGGUGGGGAUGACGUCAGAUCAUCAUGCCCCUUACGUCCAGGGCUUCACGCAUGCUACAAUGGCCGGUACAACGGGAUGCGACACGGCGACGUGGAGCGGAUCCCUGAAAACCGGUCUCAGUUCGGAUUGGAGUCUGCAACCCGACUCCAUGAAGGCGGAGUCGCUAGUAAUCGCGGAUCAGCAACGCCGCGGUGAAUGCGUUCCCGGGCCUUGUACACACCGCCCGUCAAGUCAUGAAAGUGGGUAGCACCCGAAGCCGGUGGCCUAACCCUUCUUGGGAUGGAGCCGUCUAAGGUGAGACUCGUGAUUGGGACUAAGUCGUAACAAGGUAGCCGUACCGGAAGGUGCGGCUG